GACGAACGCUGGCGGCGUGCUUAACACAUGCAAGUCGAACGGAAAGGCCCUGCUUUUGUGGGGUGCUCGAGUGGCGAACGGGUGAGUAACACGUGAGUAACCUGCCCUUGACUUUGGGAUAACUUCAGGAAACUGGGGCUAAUACCGGAUAGGAGCUCCUGCUGCAUGGUGGGGGUUGGAAAGUUUCGGCGGUUGGGGAUGGACUCGCGGCUUAUCCGCUUGUUGGUGUGGUAGUUGCUUACCAAGGCUUUGACGGGUAGCCGGCCUGAGAGGGUGACCGGCGACAAGGGGACUGAGAGACGGCCCAGACUCCUACGGGAGGCAGCAGGGGGGAAUAUGGCAGAAUGGGCGGAAGCCUGAUGCAGAAACGCCGCGUGCGGGAUGACGGCCUUCGGGUUGUAAACAGCUGUCGCCUGUGACGAAGAGGGAGUGACGGUAAUGGGUAAAGAAGCACCGGCUAACUACGUG
This 468-nucleotide ribosomal RNA is filed under the name uncultured bacterium. RNAcentral's name for it is "partial 16S ribosomal RNA". It matches the Rfam family "Bacterial small subunit ribosomal RNA", at positions 28 to 507 of the family's 1533-position model. The record is from RNAcentral.